RNAcentral lists this ribosomal RNA (199 nucleotides) under Klebsiella pneumoniae. RNAcentral's name for it is "partial 16S ribosomal RNA". It matches the Rfam family "Bacterial small subunit ribosomal RNA", at positions 1 to 205 of the family's 1533-position model. The record is from RNAcentral. Lineage: Bacteria; Pseudomonadati; Pseudomonadota; Gammaproteobacteria; Enterobacterales; Enterobacteriaceae.
ACUUAAAUUGAAGAGUUUGAUCAUGGCUCAGAUUGAACGCUGGCGGCAGGCCUAACACAUGCAAGUCGAGCGGUAGCACAGAGAGCUUGCUCUCGGGUGACGAGCGGCGGACGGGUGAGUAAUGUCUGGGAAACUGCCUGAUGGAGGGGGAUAACUACUGGAAACGGUAGCUAAUACCGCAUAACGUCGCAAGACCAAA